Long non-coding RNA from Rosa chinensis, 1252 nucleotides. RefSeq lists it as uncharacterized. Lineage: Eukaryota; Viridiplantae; Streptophyta; Magnoliopsida; Rosales; Rosaceae. The record is from RefSeq and is a predicted model, not a curated record. The transcript is spliced from 4 exons.
GCCACGUCAGCAAAUAGACGGAGCCGUUAGGAAUUUUUUACGGAAGUAUCACGUUGAUGUCAAAAUAUGUGUUUGGGUAUCGCAUUGAUACUUUUGAGAGUUCAGGUAUCAAAUUGGCCUUGGCAGCAUAGUUUGGGGACGAGACGAUGAAGAAGAACCCAAUACACAAAAGGCUUUUACCUGGACAAUCCAUUUCUUUGUUUUUUGGGUAUGCAAUUUGUCUUCCAAUUGAUCAAUCCCUGUUUCAAAGUUCCAUUCUUUACCUUACUCUACUUGGGUUUGAAAUUUUCUUUAAUUUUUUAUGUUUGUUCAACUAAACACUUGUUGGGAAAGCCAGGUUUUGAGGACUUUCACCUUUGUUACUGUUUCAAUGAAUAUGGAUAUAUGCAUGUAGAGUAGGACGCAAGUAAGAAGCUGACAUUGAACAGCUAGGUAUCGAUGUUGCUGGCAAAGUAACCCUUGAUUCAGGGUGGUCAACUGGUGGAUUUACUGGCUGUUUACUUUAAGUAUGGUGCAUCAUUUGUUUAUGGAGUUGAUGUUGGAUAUGGCCAGGUAACACCCCUAUUUGGUAGUGAAUGAUGUCAUUCCAACUAUUUUAUGCUUUCCUAAAUCCAAAGAAAAACUAUCUUAUCUGUGAGUAUACUGAUUCUUUUCUAUUCUUGUUCAAUCAUGAAUUAUGUUAUGGUGUAUUAGAAAAUGUCUCUCUUUCUAGUUUUGCAUUCAUAACUUAAAUAUUACAUGUAAUUCAUUUAGUUUCUUUUUGACACUUAGUUUGGUUCUUAAUCUGUUCUGAAUUGUGUCUUUGUUAAGCAGUAAUGACUUGCAGGCGCACAAAACUUUCAGUUAACUAAUUAUUUUUGGCUGCACCCUAAAGUGUUCUACAAUUUUAACUCUUAAGUCUUUACUUACAUGCUACUUUUGCUUGAGAACAAAAUCUGCAAUUUCUUUUUAAUUGGCUCUUCUUUUUGUAAAUGAGCUGAAUAUAAAGUGAUAACUAAUUUUUUAUUGUUCAAUAGUUUAGUACUGUCCUUCAUCUUAUUAAGUGCUGCUUUGAUUGUAUAAUUUGCAUACUUGUGCAGUCUGUUGCAAUCUUUACUCAGGUAAAAAAUGUGCGUAAGGGAAAUUGAUUUGAUAUUGGAGCGAGCCAGACUAUUGGAACGAGUGUUGCUGAAGUACUUAGCUUUUUCAUGUAUUAAUGUUUCACCAAAUUGAAGUUUUGUAGUUGGAUAUUUGAACUUAUUCUAUUGUAACA